This 492-nucleotide ribosomal RNA is filed under the name uncultured bacterium. RNAcentral's name for it is "partial 16S ribosomal RNA". It matches the Rfam family "Bacterial small subunit ribosomal RNA", at positions 29 to 507 of the family's 1533-position model. The record is from RNAcentral.
AGUGAACGCUGGCGGUAGGCCUAACACAUGCAAGUCGAACGGCAGCACGGUAAGAGCUUGCUCUUACGGGUGGCGAGUGGCGGACGGGUGAGGAAUACAUCGGAAUCUACUUUUUCGUGGGGGAUAACGUAGGGAAACUUACGCUAAUACCGCAUACGACCUACGGGUGAAAGCAGGGGAUCUUCGGACCUUGCGCGAUUGGAUGAGCCGAUGUCGGAUUAGCUAGUUGGCGGGGUAAAGGCCCACCAAGGCGACGAUCCGUAGCUGGUCUGAGAGGAUGAUCAGCCACACUGGAACUGAGACACGGUCCAGACUCCUACGGGAGGCAGCAGUGGGGAAUAUUGGACAAUGGGCGCAAGCCUGAUCCAGCCAUACCGCGUGGGUGAAAAAGGCCUUCGGGUUGUAAAGCCCUUUUGUUGGGAAAGAAAAGCAGCAGGUUAAUACCCCGCUGUUCUGACGGUACCCAAAGAAUAAGCACCGGCUAACUUCGUG